AGCGUAGACGGUGUGGCAAGUCUGAUGUGAAAGGCAUGGGCUCAACCUGUGGACUGCAUUGGAAACUGUCAUACUUGAGUGCCGGAGGGGUAAGCGGAAUUCCUAGUGUAGCGAUGAAAUGCGUAGAUAUUAGGAGGAACACCAGUGGCGAAGGCGGCUUACUGGACGGUAACUGACGUUGAGGCUGAAAGCGUGGGGAGCAAACA
RNAcentral lists this ribosomal RNA (206 nucleotides) under uncultured bacterium. RNAcentral describes it as "partial 16S ribosomal RNA". It matches the Rfam family "Bacterial small subunit ribosomal RNA", at positions 568 to 774 of the family's 1533-position model. The record is from RNAcentral.